UCAACUUCAUCUUUAUUUUAAAGAAAUUAAAUGCCUCAAGCAUGUUCAUGCAUCAUGCUGUUUAUAGUAGGUUGAUUGCACUAGUUUCACGAAUAUGGUGCGUUGCAUAAUAUGAUGACUAUGAUGAUGUGGAUGGACCAAGGCGACUCCAAUAGCCUUAGAAAUGUUGUAAGACCUGGCCGGGCCAGGCAUACAGAUGUUGUAAGACCUGGCCGGGCCAAACAUACAGAUGUUGUAAGACCUGGCCGGGCCAGGCAUACUGAUACUGGAGGGAGUUUUGGUGGUCAUGUCCAUCUGUGAUAUGAAAUGUUUGUGAUGUGAUGCAUUUCAUGAGAGCAUGUAAUUCAUGAACUAGUUUUCAGUGUUUCUACUCACUGGGCU
RNAcentral lists this long non-coding RNA (381 nucleotides) under Manihot esculenta (cassava). RNAcentral's name for it is "long non-coding RNA (MESC_LNC001797)". The record is from RNAcentral. Lineage: Eukaryota; Viridiplantae; Streptophyta; Magnoliopsida; Malpighiales; Euphorbiaceae.